CUACAUUCCGUGGCAGCCUGGCUCCAACAUCCCAGGGAAUUGUGUCACUCCCAUUGAGCAGCUGUGGGGCCCUCUCCCACAUGGCCCAGGUCCACCACUCUGUCAAAGGUCGCACAGCCCAGACAAAAACAGGACACAGCAGUGUGUGAAUGAGCCGGGCUUUCUCCUUCCCUCCACGUAAUAGAAGGUGCCUGAGGUUGUUGAAACACAGUCCAUUUCUCCUGGGAAUGACAAGAAUUUGAGGGAUGCUGACUUUCAAGGAAUACUGCAUGACAGGCAUCAAGAUAAACCUGAUGAAGAAAACAUAGGCCAGAAUCUGGGAAUCGGGAGCAAAGUAAUACAGCUUCGGGGACAGGCACGUAAUGAGGUCAUGAUGUAGGAGACUCCCUGCAGGACUGGCGGCCCCUGUUCCCUGGGUUGUUCUGGCUCUUUCAGCUGAAUUCCUGCUUCAUCUGGAGGACUGCACAGUGUAUCUGAGAGAGGAUUUUCAGGAGGCCAGAAAAUCAAGCUGGAGGGAUUUUCAGCGUGUUGGGAGAUUGCUACCUGUUUUAAGUCAGGCCAUUGCCACGUCUUUUUCCCCACCUUGGAGACUUCAGGCCUUCAGACAACACUCCCGCACUGGGUUUAUGAGAGUAACCCCCACCUUCCCAGGAAGUUGGAAGCAUUGCCCCAGCCUUUCCAGAAGCUCUGCCUGCCGUUAGCUUGGAUCAUGAAAAUUGGCUCGGCCAGGAGAAUACAUUAUAAGGCCCCAAACCGCGCCAAAUCUUAAGCCCUCAGAGCAUAAAGAUAAACUGAUUUACAAUUAUUUUCAUUAAAAUGUCAUUUUAGGUAUAUGAA
This 837-nucleotide long non-coding RNA is filed under the name Homo sapiens (human). RNAcentral describes it as "uncharacterized LOC107984195, transcript variant 7 (LOC107984195)". The record is from RNAcentral. Lineage: Eukaryota; Metazoa; Chordata; Mammalia; Primates; Hominidae.